UGAAUACGAGGCACUAAGGUGCUGAAGUAGUGUAUGUCAUACUUCCAAGAAAAGCUUGCACUAUCGUAAGAUAAAAAUGCCUGUACCAUAACCGACACAGGUGGGUAGGUAGAGUAUACUAAGGGGCGCGAGAUAACUCUCUCUAAGGAACUCGGCAAAAUAACUCCGUAACUUCGGGAGAAGGAGUGCCUUAUUCUAUAAGGUUGCAAUAACAAGAUCCAAGCAACUGUUUAUCAAAAACACAGGUCUCCGCUAAGUCGUAAGACGAUGUAUGGGGGCUGACGCCUGCCCAGCGCCAGAAGGUUAAAGAAGUCGGUUAGCAAUUGCGAAGCUGGUAACUGAAGCCCUGGUGAACGGCGGCCGUAACAAUAACGGUCCUAAGGUAGCGAAAUUCCUUGUCGGGUAAGUUCCGACCCGCACGAAAGGCGUAAUGAUUUGGAUACUGUCUCGGAGAGGGACUCGGUGAAAUAGACUUGUCUGUGAAGAUGCGGACUACCUGCACCAGGACAGAAAGACCCUAUGAAGCUUUACUGUAACUUGAAAUUGAAAUUGGACUUUAUUCGCGCAGUAUAGGUGGGAGGCGUUGAUUAUAAUCUUGUGGGAUUAUUGGAGCCAUUAGUGAGAUACCACUCUUGUAAUGUUAGAUUUCUAACUUUGAAUCAUGAUCUGGUCAAAGAACAGUUUCAGGCGGGCAGUUUGACUGGGGCGGUCGCCUCCUAAAUGGUAACGGAGGCGUACAAAGGUUUCCUCUGAACGGGUAGAAAUCGUAUCUAGAGUGUAAAGGCAUAAGGAAGCUUGACUGUGAGACCUACAAGUCGAGCAGGGACGAAAGUCGGUCUUAGUGAUCUGACGGUACUGAGUGGAAAGGCCGUCACUCAACGGAUAAAGUUACUCUAGGGAUAACAGGCUGAUCUCCCCCAAGAGUUCACAUCGACGGGGAGGUUUGGCACCUCGAUGUCGGCUCAUCGCAUCCUGGGGCGGUAGUACGUCCCAAGGGUUGGGCUGUUCGCCCAUGAAAGCGGUACGCGAGCUGGGUUCAGAACGUCGUGAGACAGUUCGGUCCAUAUCCGGUGUAGGCGUUAGAAUAUUGAGAGGAGCCUUCUUUAGUACGAGAGGACCGAGAAGGACAUACCUCUGGUGUACCAGUUAUCGUGCCAACGGUAAACGCUGGGUAGCUAUGUAUGGAGUGGAUAACCGCUGAAAGCAUCUAAGUGGGAAGCCCACCUCAAGAUAAGUAUUCUC
Molecule: ribosomal RNA, 1242 nt
Filed under: metagenome
Description: bacterial LSU rRNA
Rfam family: Bacterial large subunit ribosomal RNA
Source: RNAcentral